RNAcentral lists this transfer RNA (62 nucleotides) under Dipodomys ordii (Ord's kangaroo rat). It matches the Rfam family "tRNA", at positions 1 to 61 of the family's 71-position model. Rfam says of the family: Transfer RNA (tRNA) molecules are approximately 80 nucleotides in length. Their secondary structure includes four short double-helical elements and three loops (D, anti-codon, and T loops). The record is from Rfam by way of RNAcentral. Lineage: Eukaryota; Metazoa; Chordata; Mammalia; Rodentia; Heteromyidae.
GGGAAUGUGACUUAGUGGUAGAGUGCUUGCCUAGCAUGCAAGAAGUCCUGAAUUCAAUUCCU